CUCGCAUCUCUCAUAGUCUCGUUCGAUUCCCACUCCGGACCUCUCCUCUCUCGCCCACGACCUAUCCGCCGCCAUCGCUGUCCUUCCCUUUGGCUCGCAGAUCCUCGUGCCUCAGUCCUCGGCCGCCCUCUCCUUUUCCUGUCUUCUCUCAUGACGGCAACGAGCUCCACCUCAGGCCGGUUGCGGCACCACACCACGGGAGCCAGUACCUGAUUUUUCCGACACAGUAUCUGUAGUCCUUGGGAGUGUUGCUGCCAGAUCCAACCUCCCCGAGCACCCGGUCAGAGGCCCUGCUUGGAUUCGGUGUAAGUUUAUACAACCGGAUUUAAAUUAUCAGCCGCAGUGUAUUUUCCGUCUGGAAUAAAAACGAGGGCUGGAGGUCUGUAUCGAUUACGGAGGUAUUUGGGAGGCAACCGACAAUCCAAGCGGGGCCUUAUAUGUGGAUGGCAACAGAAGAUGAUCAAUAACUUUCAAGAAAUCUGAACCUGAAGUUUUCAAAGUUGAGUGCAAUCUUAUUCUCGUUUUCUUUUGUAGUUUAGGACUAAAACUGACUAGGAGGCAACUGAAUGUGCUUACAUUUUCAGAGCAGCCAUUGUCAGGUCUUAUCAUAGAGCCAAUCGACAGUGAGCACUUGUGCCGUUGUGCGUGGGAAACCUUCAAGUUCUGUUGAGUUCAUGUGAUUUCUUACCCAACUCAUCCCUGCAGAAACGCCCUGGACUAAUUGCAUAACUGUUUUUGUUUUAGAGGUGGCAUCAGACAAGAGGUUGUUCGUCUUAUCAUAAAGUGCCACAAGAAUUAAAGCCCAACAGAAACUGAAUUUGUUUCCCAUUUACCCAAAUUGAAAUUAUACUGCAGCAGCUUCUCCGAGAGCUCUCGGAUCGACAGGUGAAGGUACAAGAUGGUGUCCAUUCAACGAAGGGGUGGCAUUUCGAUCCAUGGUGCCACUGCACAUUCAGCUCCAUCUCCAUCUGUCUUGGCUGGCGAUCAUCCCUUCUUCCUAGCCGCCAGCCUCCGUGAUAAUUUUAGAUUGUUGGAUUGUGAAGCGAGAUUCUAGCCAUCAGCGGAGAGAUGAUUUAUUUGGGAUGAAAGGAUCUCCCAGUCUUGCAAGUAAGCUAUCUUAAUUUGUCUGAGAUGUGAUCUCCCUAUCAUUCAAAUAAGCUAUCUUACUUUUGUCCUUCUAUGUUUUGCCUAUCUAUCUUACCACUGUUGGGGUGAUCUGUGCCGGCUCUAUGAUUUGCUGAACAUCUCUUAUCUGUCUACGUAUUAUUGGGUGGAUUAACAAUGUUGUAAUGCUUAACUCAUUUGAAACUUUAUGCCCCUCCAUAUUUUAAGCACUGCCUACAAGGUUAUUAUGUUCAUCUAAAAUAAGCAAGCAAUCUUAUAAUCUUCAUUGUAUAUUAUAAGACUCCCUCGUGCCAUUCUUAGUUGAAUCGAACAUCAUCUGGUUUAGACCAUAAUCUUGAUGCAAUAGAGCUGAGAGCAUAAAAAUCAAUUAAGCAACCAAAAACAUAAACAUAUGCAUACAGCCAUCAAUGUAAAUGUGUACUAUAUGAGUUCUGCCAACUAGCAAAUAGUAGGAGAUCAGGGUGUAUGUUUGAAAAAAUGAUAAUUAUUUUUUUGUUCCAAAGUUGCAAUGGAAGACCACAAACCAACAAACAUGUAAACAUUAACAUGAAUAUCCUUGAUAUGUAAUCUGCAUUCUCUGGAUACUCCUACUUGAUUACGACAUGAGCAUAACUUAGGUUUGGCUUGGCACUUGUGAAACAUUUUCUAUAUAUCUUUGACUUUCUCAAGUGUAAGAAAUAAUGUUUGAUGCUACUUCUAGAGUUUGCACCUUUUGGAAAUGGAUCUCGACUGAACAAAAUCUCAGUCCAUGUAAAAUUAGCAAAAGUUUACUUCUAUGUGGAAAUUAGUAUAAUGAUCAUUGAGCGGAGGUAUGUGCAUACAUCUUAUAAUGAAAUGUACGCUUGGAAUUAAGAUUCGGCAAUUGUGGACUUGUCAUGAAGUAGUGUACUACGCGAAACCAUAGUUUUCCAUCCAGCUGCUUGGCUUUAGUUCAUCCUUACAAUGAUGUUUGUUCCCGUUUCCUGCAAAAUCAUGUUUCAGAUUACUGUCAAUCUGCCAUUCCUCCAAUCAGUGAAGGCCAGCUGCUGCUCCUGAUCAUGGUUUAACUUUCAUAUGUGUUUUGAACUAUAUUCAUACUCCAUGUGCUUUGGAGUAUAUUCAUAGUUCAGUAGCGAGUAUAAAUCAACUCGAUGUACAGAUGGACAUAUACAAUUAUAAAAAAGAAUAGACCUCCCAGCUCAAUAUUUUUCUCUUUUGUGUUAUUACUUACUACUGGUUGGAGUACCUUGUAUUUCGUAAGGAAAGGGAAAACUUCUAUGAAGUAACUUGGUUUAGUCCAUUUUAUAUCUCUAUAGUUUUAUGCUUACUUUCAUUUCCAUUUAUUUACAAGCUUACUGAUUAUUGUAUCGUUGAAAAGUAUGGGCAAGGUAACAUGGUCCAUCAUGGUGGAAGCGUUGCCAUUCUCUCCACGACAUACUAAUGUUAUGCAAGUUACCAAUUUGAGAAACAUCUUAUUCUAUUUUUUAAUUGGAGGUAAUGGAAGAAAUUAUGCCAUAUAUGCAAUAUUUAAUUGUCAUGACCUUGAUGUAUGAAGUGCGAACUUGCUUACAAUCUGAGUGUUGUCCAUCCAACCGUAGGGUGAGAGUUAACAAAAUUUUGGGGUCUUGAAUUACAAAGACUGUUUCUUAUGUAUAUAUCCUUGUUCUAUUGAUACACAUAAUAUUGGCUGAUCAAAAUAAUUGUCAAGUAUGAAUGGUAUUGUUGUCUGUAGAGCAGUGGUGUUAUGCUGUUACGACUCUGCACUCCUUUACUAUCAACGACUAGAAUUUGCCCUUCUGUUAAUCUCUAAUACAUAUAUCAUCUUUACAAACUUAUCCCGCAUGUUUUGGGCCUCUAUACUUACAAAUGUUCCUAUCAUUCUACUGGAAAAAUAUACGGGCGCGGCAACGCGCGCCAUCAUGGUCUAGUAAAUGCAUUAAAGAAAAGCGCUUGUUGGGAGACAACCCAAUAUUUACCCUUACUGUUU
This is a long non-coding RNA of Triticum aestivum (bread wheat), 3091 nucleotides long. RefSeq lists it as uncharacterized. The transcript has 3 exons. The record is from RefSeq and is a predicted model, not a curated record. NCBI's taxonomy places the organism in Eukaryota, Viridiplantae, Streptophyta, Magnoliopsida, Poales, Poaceae.